GACGAACGCUGGCGGCGUGCUUAACACAUGCAAGUCGAACGGAAAGGCCCUGCUUUUGUGGGGUGCUCGUGUGGCGAACGGGUGUGUAACACGUGAGUAAACUGCCCUUGACUUUGGGAUAACUUCAGGAAACUGGGGCUCAUACCGGAUAGGAGCUCCUGCUGCCUGGUGGGUGUUGGAAUGUUUCGGCGGUUGGGGAUGGACUCGCGGCGUAUCAGCUUGUUGGUGGGGUAGUGGCUUACCAAGGCUUUGCCGGGUAGCCGGCCUGAGAGGGUGACCGGCCACAUUGGGAAUGAGAUACGGCCCAGACUCCUACGGGAGGCAGCAGUGGGGAAUAUUGCACAAUGGGCGGAAGCCUGAUGCAGCAACGCCGCGUGCGGGAUGACGGCCUUCGGGUUGUAAACCGCUUUCGCCGGUGACGAAGCGUGAGUGACGGUAAUGGGUAGAGAAGCACCGGCUAAAUACGGG
This 468-nucleotide ribosomal RNA is filed under the name uncultured bacterium. Its description in RNAcentral is "partial 16S ribosomal RNA". It matches the Rfam family "Bacterial small subunit ribosomal RNA", at positions 28 to 507 of the family's 1533-position model. The record is from RNAcentral.